UACGGAGGAGGCAAGCGUUAUCCGGAAUUAUUGGGCGUAAAGAGCUCGUAGGCGGUCUGUCGCGUCUGCUGUGAAAAUCCAGGGCUCAACCCUGGACCUGCAGUGGGUACGGGCAGACUAGAGUGCGGUAGGGGAGAUCGGAAUUCCUGGUGUAGCGGUGAAAUGCGCAGAUAUCAGGAGGAACACCGGUGGCGAAGGCGGGUCUCUGGGCCGUAACUGACGCUGAGGAGCGAAAGCAUGGGGAGCGAACAGG
This 253-nucleotide ribosomal RNA is filed under the name uncultured bacterium. RNAcentral's name for it is "partial 16S ribosomal RNA". It matches the Rfam family "Bacterial small subunit ribosomal RNA", at positions 524 to 776 of the family's 1533-position model. The record is from RNAcentral.